Molecule: long non-coding RNA, 728 nt
Organism: Bos taurus (domestic cattle)
Lineage: Eukaryota; Metazoa; Chordata; Mammalia; Artiodactyla; Bovidae
Source: Ensembl
GGUCAGAGAGCCAAGCUGACUAUCUCCCCAGACUAUGCCUAUGGUGCCACUGGGCACCCAGGCAUCAUCCCACCAAAUGCCACUCUCAUCUUUGACGUGGAAUUUCUAAAACUGGAAUGACAGGAGUGGCCUCCUCCCUGAGCUCCCCGUUCUUGGAUGUGCCACAGAGGGAUCCGGCGCCUCCAGAGGCACACACAUCUAGCCCUUCAUCAUAACUUCUAUGAGAGCUGCCUCGAUAGGAGACAAUAAUAAGAUGGAUAAAACUAGAGCACUAAAUAGACACCAGCCACAGAAAAGAUAAGGCUAAAGAGGUGGAUUCUGUACCAACUGAACCAGCAGGCAAGCAGCCAGAAAGCUGCCUGGAGCCAUUUCUGACUGCAAACUCUUGACUAUGUUCUCUUAAACCUCAUUUCUGUACUUCUACAACACUUUUCUUCAUGCCUACCUGUGCACCCAACUUAUUUUUCUUUCUUCCUUACAGGUAUGUCUGUGUCUUGCUCAUCUGUUUCCCUUAUAAUGUCUGGCUCAAUGCUUUCCAAAAAGUCAACGUCCAAUAAAUAUUUGUUGAAUUGAAAAACUGUAAUUUUUGCCAAGAAAAUGUCUUUUUAUCUUUGAAAAAUUGAUUCAGUUCAGUUCAGUUCAGUCCAGUUCAGUCACUCAGUCGUGUCCGACUCUGCGACCCCAUGAAUUGCAGCACGCGAGCCUCCUUGUCCAUCACCAACUCCCGG